This is a small nuclear RNA of Pongo abelii (Sumatran orangutan), 66 nucleotides long. Its record names the gene U7. It matches the Rfam family "U7 small nuclear RNA". Rfam says of the family: Animal histone pre-mRNAs are spliced by a different mechanism than nuclear pre-mRNAs and self-splicing introns. This processing involves the U7 snRNP, which contains only one RNA species: U7. Lineage: Eukaryota; Metazoa; Chordata; Mammalia; Primates; Hominidae. The record is from Ensembl.
CAGUGUUAUAGCUAGCUCUUUUGGAAUUUAUCCAGCCGGCUUUCUGGCAAAUGCCAGAAAGUCAUU